This 58-nucleotide transfer RNA is filed under the name Puniceicoccales bacterium. Its description in RNAcentral is "tRNA-Thr". It matches the Rfam family "tRNA", at positions 9 to 64 of the family's 71-position model. From Rfam's summary of the family: Transfer RNA (tRNA) molecules are approximately 80 nucleotides in length. Their secondary structure includes four short double-helical elements and three loops (D, anti-codon, and T loops). Further hydrogen bonds mediate the characteristic L-shaped molecular structure. tRNAs have two regions of fundamental functional importance: the anti-codon, which is responsible for specific mRNA codon recognition, and the 3' end, to which the tRNAs corresponding amino acid is attached (by aminoacyl-tRNA synthetases). tRNAs cope with the degeneracy of the genetic code in two manners: having more than one tRNA (with a specific anti-codon) for a particular amino acid; and 'wobble' base-pairing, i.e. permitting non-standard base-pairing at the 3rd anti-codon position. Lineage: Bacteria; Pseudomonadati; Verrucomicrobiota; Opitutia; Puniceicoccales. The record is from RNAcentral.
AGCUCAGUUGGCAGAGCGCAUCCUUGGUAAGGAUGAGGUCGGCGGUUCAAAUCCGCUC